CCCAAACCUAAAGUCUAUAGCUUGGGAAGUUUUGAAAAGCUGCGGAUUCAGUCAUUCACCUCUCCCUUGCUUAAGGACUUGAUAAUGCCCCAUUGUCUUAAGGAUGACAUCACAGACUCCCACUUAGAAGCUCUUCCCAUCUGUCAUCAACCCCUGGCUUCUGAUUUAUCAUCUUCUUCUGCUCUGGGAAGAGGGGAGAUACCUGCCUACCGGAUACAGAAGAAUGUUUUGGACUAACUGGCAUGUGUUUUCAAAAGCCUGCAGCUUUCUGACAUAUAUAUACCCUGCUCCUCUCAGUUUCUGUGUCAAGAUCACAGCUCUAAGCUCUAAACUCUUUGCGGGCAGACAUUGUGUAAUUUAUCAGGGUAUCAGCCAAAUGUUGUGAAUGAAUACACAUAAAUGAGAUAUUCAGCAUAUUCACUUUCCUACCUGAUGGGAUACUGGCUGAAUGAUUGACAGACGGGCUGGUGCGUGGACCCAGGCGGCGCGCUCAGGGCUGGGCAGACGUGAUUAUCAUCGCCCCUGCUGUAGUCCAUCAGAGCCGGGUGUUAGCAGGUUUCCACCGUUGUGCACCGACACGGAUCCACUAUUCCAAUGUCGUCCAACCAGAUUUCCAGUUCACAAGGUAGUGAAACAAGAAGAUUAGAAGGUGUGCUUUUGAAACAUCUAACUGCACUGAGCCAAGUUAAAUAAACUAAAACUCAACCCAAAACUUAGGAGCUUAUUCUUCACGGUUGCUUCCAAACAGAAAAGCGAUAUAGUAAAAAUUAAGAAGUCUUUUCUUUGAAAAUUGUAGUUAUUUUGAUAAACAGUGCUGUCCAAGCAGCAAAUGUGAGAGCCACACUCUGUACCUCAUUCUCUUUGUGCCCUGCUCUCGGGGUUUGGUGUGAAUACUUCAUAGUUAAACUAUGUCUUCCCCUGAGGA
Non-coding RNA from Oryctolagus cuniculus (rabbit), 925 nucleotides. The record is from RefSeq and is a predicted model, not a curated record. NCBI's taxonomy places the organism in Eukaryota, Metazoa, Chordata, Mammalia, Lagomorpha, Leporidae.